RNAcentral lists this ribosomal RNA (253 nucleotides) under uncultured bacterium. RNAcentral describes it as "partial 16S ribosomal RNA". It matches the Rfam family "Bacterial small subunit ribosomal RNA", at positions 524 to 776 of the family's 1533-position model. The record is from RNAcentral.
GACGUAGGGUGCGAGCGUUGUCCGGAUUUAUUGGGCGUAAAGAGCUCGUAGGCGGCUCGUCGCGUCAGCUGUGAAAACCCGCAGCUUAACUGUGGGCUUGCAGCUGAUACGGGCGGGCUAGAGUUCGGUAGGGGAGACUGGAAUUCCUGGUGUAGCGGUGAAAUGCGCAGAUAUCAGGAGGAACACCAAUAGCGAAGGCAGCUCGCUGGGACGGUAUUGACGCUGAGGCGCGAAAGCGUGGGGAGCAAACAGG